Molecule: non-coding RNA, 789 nt
Organism: Peromyscus maniculatus bairdii (prairie deer mouse)
Lineage: Eukaryota; Metazoa; Chordata; Mammalia; Rodentia; Cricetidae
Source: RefSeq, a predicted model, not a curated record
CAUUUUCAGAGUCUCCACAGAUUAUCAAGCAAGGCUGUGGCCACAACAGACUUGACUGGAACUUGAGGCUCACACGAGACUGUGGAGUGUCGAGAAUAAGCCAGCAACCAAAGAUCACCCAGGAAGAACGAAGUACCAGGCCCUGUGUGACCCACCCUCCUCUCAUGGAUUCAAGCCAAGUCACACAAAGUGCCAUGCUGAGCUCCCGGCCAGGACAAGGCUGUGGCUUUGGCUCUUCCUGACUCUGGGAUGACAGAAGACGCUGUUGUGUUUCAGAUUUCCUGCUACUUUCAAAAUGCCUGGAGUGGACCUGAGUAUUCUCAUCUGUGAGGGUUGAAGAUAAACAGAUUUUUCUUUGAUGUCCUACUUAGAUGUGUAACAUGGGCUCAUCUUGAGUUUUUCCAAAUUAUCUUGAUGCUGGAAAGACUUCUCGUGUGUCUUAAAGCCCUCAAGAGAACACUUAUUUCACACCAGUCAUAAGUACUUCACACCAGACCCACAAAAGUCCUGUUUCGUCCCAAGUAUUAGAAGAUAGAUUGCUUCUUUUUUCAUGUAGUCUUCAGAAGUUAAAGGUCUUGACAACUGGCUAAUCUACCCAUUCAAGAAAUAUUAUGGGACCUUUCUACAUUGUAGCUACACAGUAUCUGAAUCAUGGUCUCUGUCCUUUACUCAAGCCAAGGUCUGUGGGUGCCCUGGGUUUGCUACCAGUCUGUUACUUAAAGUAGGUUAACAACUCAGUAUCCUGUCAAAUUAUUUUCUUUGGAAAUAUGCUCCUAGUCUGAGAAAAUG